GAUCUGGCUCAGAUUGAACGCUGGCGGCAGGCCUAACACAUGCAAGUCGAACGGUAGCACAGAGAGCUUGCUCUCGGGUGACGAGUGGCGGACGGGUGAGUAAUGUCUGGGAAACUGCCUGAUGGAGGGGGAUAACUACUGGAAACGGUAGCUAAUACCGCAUAACGUCGCAAGACCAAAGAGGGGGACCUUCGGGCCUCUUGCCAUCAGAUGUGCCCAGAUGGGAUUAGCUAGUAGGUGGGGUAACGGCUCACCUAGGCGACGAUCCCUAG
Molecule: ribosomal RNA, 272 nt
Filed under: Enterobacteriaceae bacterium R-32573
Lineage: Bacteria; Pseudomonadati; Pseudomonadota; Gammaproteobacteria; Enterobacterales; Enterobacteriaceae
Description: partial 16S ribosomal RNA
Rfam family: Bacterial small subunit ribosomal RNA
Source: RNAcentral